Molecule: ribosomal RNA, 388 nt
Filed under: Pteropus hypomelanus (small flying fox)
Lineage: Eukaryota; Metazoa; Chordata; Mammalia; Chiroptera; Pteropodidae
Also listed under: 1 other name
Description: partial 12S ribosomal RNA
Rfam family: Bacterial small subunit ribosomal RNA
Source: RNAcentral
GCUUAGCCCUAAACCUAAGUAGCCGAACAACGACGCCACUCGCCAGAGUACUACUAGCAACAGCUUAAAACUCAAAGGACUUGGCGGUGCUUUACAUCCCUCUAGAGGAGCCUGUUCUGUAAUCGAUAAACCCCGAUAAACCUCACCAACUCUUGCUAAUACAGCCUAUAUACCGCCAUCUUCAGCAAACCCUAAAAAGGAAACAAAGUAAGCAAAAACAUAAAAACAUAAAAACGUUAGGUCAAGGUGUAGCCCAUGAGUUGGAAAGAAAUGGGCUACAUUUUCUAGCAUAGAACAUCAACGAAAAUUUUCGUGAAACCGAAAAUAGAAGGAGGAUUUAGUAGUAAAUUAAGAACAGAGAGCUUAAUUGAAUCAGGCCAUGAAGCAC